This 134-nucleotide non-coding RNA is filed under the name unclassified sequences. RNAcentral describes it as "Bacteriophage Diversity-Generating Retroelement RNA". It matches the Rfam family "Bacteriophage Diversity-Generating Retroelement RNA". The record is from Rfam by way of RNAcentral.
GCGCGUGACCCGCUAUGGCGGGCACGGCCGACCAUUGCAGCAUCGAAUGUGGUCAGCCCACGCUUCCUGCUUCGGCAAACACUCUACUGGGUUCGGAGAGCGGCGAGUAGUGAGACAUCGAAAGCCGCGCCGAC